Molecule: long non-coding RNA, 235 nt
Filed under: Mytilus galloprovincialis (Mediterranean mussel)
Lineage: Eukaryota; Metazoa; Mollusca; Bivalvia; Mytilida; Mytilidae
Source: RNAcentral
GUCCAUAGCUGUAGGCCGGUUACGUAGUCGUCUGGUUAUUGAGUAAUCACUAGUCUGUGGUUAAUUGUCAAACUAUGAAAUUAACCCCUGACGGAUACAUGUUAUUUCACAGUAGACAUGGUCAUUUAUUGGCUUCAGGGUAUUGUUACACAAUUGUGUAACAUAAUGCCUUCAAUCCUAAUAGAACGAAAGUUCAAUAAAAUGCGGUAUUUUUCUUCCUGUAGGUUAUUUUAAU